Molecule: ribosomal RNA, 511 nt
Filed under: uncultured bacterium
Lineage: Bacteria
Description: partial 16S ribosomal RNA
Rfam family: Bacterial small subunit ribosomal RNA
Source: RNAcentral
GACGAACGCUGGCGGCGUGCCUAAUACAUGCAAGUCGAGCGGAAGUUGGAGAGCUUGCUCUUCAACUUUAGCGGCGGACGGGUGAGUAACACGUGGGCAACCUGCCCUGCAGAUCGGGAUAACUCCGGGAAACCGGUGCUAAUACCGAAUAGUUUUCGCCACCUCCUGGUGGCGUACGGAAAGACGGUUUCGGCUGUCACUGCAGGAUGGGCCCGCGGCGCAUUAGCUAGUUGGCGGGGUAACGGCCCACCAAGGCGACGAUGCGUAGCCGACCUGAGAGGGUGAUCGGCCACACUGGGACUGAGACACGGGCCAGACUCCUACGGGGGGCAGCAGUAGGGAAUCUUCCGCAAUGGACGAAAGUCUGACGGAGCAACGCCGCGUGAGUGACGAAGGUUUUCGGAUCGUAAAACUCUGUUGUGAGGGAAGAACAAGUACCACUUAACUACUGGUACCUUGACGGUACCUCACCAGAAAGCCACGGCUAACUACGUGCCAGCCGCCGCAGUAA